This 253-nucleotide ribosomal RNA is filed under the name uncultured bacterium. RNAcentral's name for it is "partial 16S ribosomal RNA". It matches the Rfam family "Bacterial small subunit ribosomal RNA", at positions 524 to 776 of the family's 1533-position model. The record is from RNAcentral.
UACGUAGGGACCAAGCGUUGCUCGGAUUUACUGGGCGUAAAGGGCGCGUAGGCGGCGUGGUAAGUCACUUGUGAAAUCUCUGAGCUUAACUCAGAACGGCCAAGUGAUACUGCUGUGCUAGAGUGCAGAAGGGGCAAUCGGAAUUCUUGGUGUAGCGGUGAAAUGCGUAGAUAUCAAGAGGAACACCUGAGGUGAAGACGGGUUGCUGGGCUGACACUGACGCUGAGGCGCGAAAGCCAGGGGAGCAAACGGG